Molecule: ribosomal RNA, 499 nt
Filed under: Pyrenophora tritici-repentis
Lineage: Eukaryota; Fungi; Ascomycota; Dothideomycetes; Pleosporales; Pleosporaceae
Description: eukaryotic LSU rRNA
Rfam family: 5.8S ribosomal RNA (bases 159-312)
Source: RNAcentral
GGGAUAGGGCCUCGCUGCCUUGCCCGUCUGGCGCCAUAUUCACCCAUGUCUUUUUGCGUACUACUUGUUUCCUUGGCGGGUCCGCCCGCCAAUUGGACCUUAUUCAAACCUUUUUUUCAGUUGCAAUCAGCGUCAGCAAAACAAAUGUAAUCAAUUACAACUUUCAACAACGGAUCUCUUGGUUCUGGCAUCGAUGAAGAACGCAGCGAAAUGCGAUAAGUAGUGUGAAUUGCAGAAUUCAGUGAAUCAUCGAAUCUUUGAACGCACAUUGCGCCCUUUGGUAUUCCAAAGGGCAUGCCUGUUCGAGCGUCAUUUGUACCCUCAAGCUUUGCUUGGUGUUGGGCGUCUUGUCUCUCUCCCGAGACUCGCCUUAAAAUCAUUGGCAGCCGGCCUACUGGUUUCGGAGCGCAGCACAUUAUUUGCGCUCUUGUCCAGCCGCGGUCGCGCGUCCAUGAAGCUUCUUUCAACCUUUUGACCUCGGAUCAGGUAGGGAUACCCG